UACGGAGGGUGCGAGCGUUGUCCGGAAUCAUUGGGCGUAAAGGGCGCGUAGGUGGCCCCUCAAGCGUGCGGUGAAAGUCAGGGGCUCAACCCCUGAUCGGCCGUGCGAACUGGGGAGCUUGAGCACUGUAGAGGCAGGCGGAAUUCCGGGUGCAGCGGUGGAAUGCGCAGAUAUCGGGAGGAACACCGGUGGCGAAGGCGGUUCUCUGGGCCUGUACUGACGCUGAGGAGCGAAAGCGUGGGGAGCAAACAGG
RNAcentral lists this ribosomal RNA (253 nucleotides) under uncultured bacterium. RNAcentral describes it as "partial 16S ribosomal RNA". It matches the Rfam family "Bacterial small subunit ribosomal RNA", at positions 524 to 776 of the family's 1533-position model. The record is from RNAcentral.